RNAcentral lists this ribosomal RNA (240 nucleotides) under uncultured bacterium. RNAcentral describes it as "partial 16S ribosomal RNA". It matches the Rfam family "Bacterial small subunit ribosomal RNA", at positions 333 to 568 of the family's 1533-position model. The record is from RNAcentral.
UUGGGCCUACGGGACGCAGCAGGGAAUCUUCCACAAUGGGCGAAAGCCUGAUGGAGCAACGCCGCGUGGGUGAAGAAGGUCUUCGGAUCGUAAAACCCUGUUGUUAGAGAAGAAAGUGCGUGAGAGUAACUGUUCACGUUUCGACGGUAUCUAACCAGAAAGCCACGGCUAACUACGUGCCAGCAGCCGCGGUAAUACGUAGGUGGCAAGCGUUAUCCGGAUUUAUUGGGCGUAAAGGGA